AUGGUGGGACCAUUCAAGAUGGCCCGAGGCGGCCUAACUCAUCUGCUUGUCGCGCUGGACAAGUUCACCAAGUGGAUAGAAGCAAAGCCCAUCAAGAAGUUGAAUGGUCCGACUGCAAUGACUUUCAUCGCCGACAUCACGGUGCGGUACGGCAUACCGCACAGCAUCAUCACCGACUAUGGCACAAAUUUUGCCAAAGGCGCCUUGGCCCGUUUCUGCGCGACGCAGGGCAUCCGACUGGACUUAGCGUCCAUUGCCCAUCCGCAGUCAAACGGCCAGGUGGAGCGAGCAAACGGCCUCAUCCUGUCCGGCAUCAAGCCUCAACUGGUCGAACCACUCGAGCGUUCGGCUGGUUGUUGGCUUGAGGAGUUACCAUCCGUCCUCUGGAGUCUGCGCACGACUCCAAACAAGUCAACCGGCUUCACGCCUUUCUUCCUCGUCUACGGUGCCGAAGUCGUCAUCCCGACGGACAUAGAAUUCGACUCCCCGCGAGUCACCAUGUACACCGAAGAAGAAUCAGAAGAAGCGCGUCAAGACGGUGUUGAUCUGCUGGAAGAGGGCCGGCUGUUGGCACUCAGCUGGUCCAGCAUCUACCAGCAGAGUCUGCGCCGAUACUACAACCGGAAGGUCAGGCCGAGAUCUUUCCAAGAGGGCGACCUUGUGCUCCGGCUGAUUCAGCGAACUGCCGGCCAGCACAAGUUGUCGGCGCCUUGGGAAGGCCCCUUCAUCAUCAGCAAAGUGCUGGGCAACGACUCCUAUUACCUAAUCGACGCCCAGAAGCCCCGAGCAUGCAAGAGGGACGACUCCGGCAAAGAGUCAGAACGACCAUGGAACGCAAAUCUUCUCCGAAGAUUUUACAGUUGA
Molecule: ribosomal RNA, 864 nt
Filed under: Triticum aestivum (bread wheat)
Lineage: Eukaryota; Viridiplantae; Streptophyta; Magnoliopsida; Poales; Poaceae
Description: partial small subunit ribosomal RNA
Source: RNAcentral